GACGAACGUUGGCGGCGUGCUUAAUACAUGCAAGUCAACUGAAGCAGUGGUAGCAAUAUCGCUGUGGAGGUGGCGCACGGGUGAGUAACACGUAGGUAAUCUGCCUUCAGGUCUGGCAUAACUCCGGGAAACCGGGGCUAAUAGCAGAUGAUGCAGCGGCUCGACAUCGAGACAGUUGUUAAAGCUAUGGCGCCUGAAGAUGAGCCUGCGUCUGAUUAGCUAGUUGGCGGGGUAACGGCCCACCAAGGCAACGAUCAGUAGCUGGUCUGAGAGGAUGAUCAGCCACACUGGAACUGAGACACGGUCCAGACUCCUACGGGAGGCAGCAGUAAGGAAUAUUGCUCAAUGGGAGAAAUCCUGAAGCAGCAACGCCGCGUGAGGGACGAAGGGCUUUUGUUUGUAAACCUCUGUAGUGAGAGAAAAAAAUCCCAAUCUUUGGGACAUGAUGGUAUCUCAAAAGUAAGCCCCGGCUAACUACGUG
This 481-nucleotide ribosomal RNA is filed under the name uncultured bacterium. RNAcentral's name for it is "partial 16S ribosomal RNA". It matches the Rfam family "Bacterial small subunit ribosomal RNA", at positions 28 to 507 of the family's 1533-position model. The record is from RNAcentral.